This 301-nucleotide ribosomal RNA is filed under the name uncultured bacterium. RNAcentral describes it as "partial 16S ribosomal RNA". It matches the Rfam family "Bacterial small subunit ribosomal RNA", at positions 509 to 807 of the family's 1533-position model. The record is from RNAcentral.
CAGUAGCCGCGGUAAUACGGAGGGGGCUAGCGUUGUUCGGAAUUACUGGGCGUAAAGCGCACGUAGGCGGCUUGGUAAGUUAGAGGUGAAAGCCCGGAGCUCAACUCCGGAAUUGCCUUUAAGACUGCCGAGCUAGUAGGUGAGAGAGGUAAGUGGAAUUCCGAGUGUAGAGGUGAAAUUCGUAGAUAUUCGGAAGAACACCAGUGGCGAAGGCGGCUUACUGGCUCAUUCUAGGCGCUGAGGUGCGAAAGCGUGGGGAGCAGACAGGAUUAGAUACCCCAGUAGUCCCUGUCUCUUAUAC